AGAAUAUUGAUUUCUUCAUUAUUAUUGACAUGUUCUAAUCAAUUUGUUACUUUUCAGGAAUUUUACUAUUGCAGACUUCGAUUUAUUUAAUUACAUAACAGAAAAUGAUUUAUCAGUGGUGAAUAAAUAAAUUAUUUAGUUGAAUUAAUUUAAUUUGAUAUUUUGUGUUUAUUUUUAUUUACAUUGGUUACUCCUCUUUGGAGUACACCUGUAGACUCUAUUUGUAGCAUUAAUUUGAGUGGUCACUUAGAUCUGGUCAUGUGAUUGGUUUAUAGGGGUACUUGUAUUUGUUCAUUUCUGACUCCUGAAUUUCAUGCUAAGAGGCUAGCCAUGCGGUUUUAACUGCCAUAUUAGAAUUUUGAAGUUGUUCUAUAUUUUAUUCAUCUUUGAAGUGUUUUCCUGCACUUAGAAGUUUUGACAUACACUUACACACGACCUACAUGUAACUGGUAGAAGUUUCCAUGACCUUCGCACCCCAUGGGAGAGAUUGAUCAUAUAGGACUAAGGUCCACUGAGACUAGUUUGGAUCAUGUCAAAAAGCUGGAAUUACAAAUAAUAAAAAACAGGAUUCUGCUUGAAAAUAUAUGUUAUUGAAAAACUGUAGAUACUCAAAUUAUGAAAACCACUGGCAAACAAUUUGUGAGAAAUUAUAACAAGUUUUAUUACAUAUGUGAUUGCUUAAACUAUUCUUUUUUUUUGAAUUAUAUUGACUUGUGAACAAAUAUUUUGAUACAUGUGCCCCCUUUUCUAUUGUAUUUUUUUAUCUUCUAUAUCUCCCUUUUUCUCUUUUUAUUUACUGCUAUUUUUUUUUAUCUACCUAUUUUUUUUUGCAAGAAAACACGAUUUCACACUACACGGAUAAUCUAUUUCCUUUAGAUUAAUAAGAUAUUACAAUAUGUAGAAUCUUGAAAUGUAUGAAAUAUGUCUGAAAUAUGUGUGUAUGUGGAUUUCUGUGUAAACAAAAAACAAAAAAAAAAACAAAAGCUUAUGGAACUGAAGAAGUACACAAUACACUACAGCUCAUGAGAGAGGAUCUCUACUGAAUAAAAAUAUUGUCGAAACAUACGAUUUGUUUUGGUGCAAUGUAUUUAGGCAAACGACAAACACACAUGCAACUUAUAAGAUCAUGCAAAGGAUAAAGCAUUGCAUUGCUGUUGAAUCUGAUUUUAGCAGUAACUGUACUGUUGAAAAAAUCAGUGCUUUCAUUGCCCACUCUUUCACGUGGAUCUCCAGGAAGAACCCAUUAAUCCCCAUAAGUCCAAUCUACAUGUAACAUGAAUGACAAAAGUAUUUGUUUAGGUGCUUUUUUUUUUUUAAAAUUAGCUGUUCGCUCUGACUAAGCGCCAAAAGAUUGGGUUCUGAAUGCACAUUUUUAGACCAAAAUUCCCUGAAGGACUUUUGGUACCCCCUGAUU
Long non-coding RNA from Magallana angulata, 1414 nucleotides. RefSeq lists it as uncharacterized. Lineage: Eukaryota; Metazoa; Mollusca; Bivalvia; Ostreida; Ostreidae. The transcript is spliced from 3 exons. The record is from RefSeq and is a predicted model, not a curated record.